Ananas comosus (pineapple) is the source of this 827-nucleotide long non-coding RNA. RefSeq lists it as uncharacterized. The record is from RefSeq and is a predicted model, not a curated record. The transcript has 3 exons. NCBI's taxonomy places the organism in Eukaryota, Viridiplantae, Streptophyta, Magnoliopsida, Poales, Bromeliaceae.
GUCGGAUUGUGUGAGCCUAUUUAUCGGCUUCUUCGAUCUAGGGAGGUGGGGGGAGGAGAUUUUUUUUUUUCUUUCGAGAGGAUGGAAUGUCUCAUGAUCUAUGCUUGUUUCUCUAGUUGACCUGUACAAUUGCCCCGACACAAUGGGUUCUUGUGUAUCGACAUCAAAUAGAACACCUAGAUCACAACUAUGGUCCCUUAGAGCUAGGAAAUGCUGUGGAAAAGUUUCAGCAGUGAUAUAUGAUGAACCCACUCUCAGGGGCAAUGAUGCUGGUAAUUCUUCUACUCGGAGCAAAAUCGUUCGCGCUGAGUCUUCUGUGCCCAAUAGGCGGAGAUCCGAGGUCGCAAAUUUAACAUUCCACCUCACUCAAUUGCAAUGGCAUCGCAAUCAGAUGGAUUUGGGAAAUGUGUGAAGAUGCUUCAGACAUGGUGGAUUCUAUGCAUAAGUUUGAGAACCUUUCGCGUGAAGAUAAGUUCCAAGAACUGAAGAGGCCCAAUGUUGCGAACCAAUAAGGCUAAGAAAUUCUACAAUAUUUGCUGUUCAUUUGAUGAUCUACACCCGGAUUAAGCACCUGAAAAAGGUAUUUGAUGAAAUUAAUGUAGGGAACAAUUUUUUUACCAUUGUGGUGUCUGUAACCUUAUUUCAUUGUUCUUAUUCCUGUGCGUUAAUGAAUUUACCCAAUGCUAGUGUACUCCGAUUGCUCGAUGAGCCAUAGCAUCUGUUUUUUUCUUUUUUCCCCAACGUCUGGCUCCAUGUCUCUCUCUAUAUGAUUUGUUUAUUCAUUUAUACCAAUGUGCAUCAGGGCUAUAUUUGUUAUUACUCGGUAA